GCGUCCGUAGCUCAGUUGGUUAGAGCACCACCUUGACAUGGUGGGGGUCGGUGGUUCGAGUCCACUCGGACGCCCCA
Molecule: transfer RNA, 77 nt
Filed under: Escherichia coli
Lineage: Bacteria; Pseudomonadati; Pseudomonadota; Gammaproteobacteria; Enterobacterales; Enterobacteriaceae
Description: tRNA-Val
Rfam family: tRNA
About the family: Transfer RNA (tRNA) molecules are approximately 80 nucleotides in length. Their secondary structure includes four short double-helical elements and three loops (D, anti-codon, and T loops).
Source: RNAcentral